Long non-coding RNA from Hyalella azteca, 699 nucleotides. RefSeq lists it as uncharacterized. The transcript is spliced from 2 exons. NCBI's taxonomy places the organism in Eukaryota, Metazoa, Arthropoda, Malacostraca, Amphipoda, Hyalellidae. The record is from RefSeq and is a predicted model, not a curated record.
AUAAACAAAAAACUAUGAUUCAGUUUUAAACUGGUUUAAUUGUCAUAGCUUCCGUAACCUUUUGUUCUGUUCCUUGAUUCUGGAUGACGUAUAAAGUAGCUACAACCUGAACAUUUGAUGAACUAAUCUCACCCUUGCUACUAUGCUUCACCUCCUUUUCAAGAAUUUUCAGCAGUUCGUUGCCUGACUCAUGACAGCAACUCCCGGGGUGCCCGUACAACUUCGCGCCCAUACUGUGAAUUUCAGUGUUCGAUGCACGGGACGCCACAUUGUUCAGCCUCGGUUAAUUUACUGACUCUGAUGGAGUAAAACUACUAUUGGAAGCCCUGCCUGAAAUACGGCCGGAUACUUCGAAGUAACUCAAGCAAGGUAGUGUACGUCCUGGCGUUGGCAUCGUCUGCUCUACGAUGACUUCCUGCGUUUCUACGGCGGCUGUGACCACGACUUGUGCCCCAGCAAUCUCUGGGCGGAUGUGGACCAGCCACGGGGCCAGCCAUGCAUCAACUUUCAUCGAAGGAUUAUUUGCAUUAACGGGUUGGUGAACUUGGGAGCGAGUAUGCGACUCCGUUGCCGUUUCACUUAUUGUGAAGCGACUCGCUACCACAAUUUCAGGGGGCAGCACAGAGCAAACUUGGGAUUGAUGGCAUUUGUUGUCAUCGUUAUUCCUUCAUUAAAGAAAAAAUGCACCAACCAUGGUUU